CUGGCGGCAGGCCUAACACAUGCAAGUCGAGCGCUCACUUCGGUGGGAGCGGCGGACGGGUUAGUAACGCGUGGGAAUAUGCCCGGUACUAAGGAAUAGCCUUUGGAAACGAAGAGUAAUACCCUAUACGCCCUUCGGGGGAAAGAUUUAUCGGUAUCGGAUUAGCCCGCGUAAGAUUAGAUAGUUGGUGGGGUAAUGGCCUACCAAGUCUACGAUCUUUAGCUGGUUUUAGAGGAUGAUCAGCAACACUGGGACUGAGACACGGCCCAGACUCCUACGGGAGGCAGCAGUGGGGAAUCUUAGACAAUGGGCGCAAGCCUGAUCUAGCCAUGCCGCGUGAGUGAAGAAGGCCUUAGGGUCGUAAAACUCUUUCGCCAGAGAUGAUAAUGACAGUAUCUGGUAAAGAAACCCCGGCUAACUCCGUGCCAGCAGCCGCGGUAAUACGGAGGGGGUUAGCGUUGUUCGGAAUUACUGGGCGUAAAGCGCACGUAGGCGGACUGGAAAGUUGGGGGUGAAAUCCCGGGGCUCAACCUCGGAACUGCCUCCAAAACUAUCAGUCUAGAGUUCGAGAGAGGUGAGUGGAAUUCCAAGUGUAGAGGUGAAAUUCGUAGAUAUUUGGAGGAACACCAGUGGCGAAGGCGGCUCACUGGCUCGAUACUGACGCUGAGGUGCGAAAGUGUGGGGAGCAAACAGGAUUAGAUACCCUGGUAGUCCACACCGUAAACGAUGAAUGCCAGUCGUCGGCAAGUAUACUUGUCGGUGACACACCUAACGGAUUAAGCAUUCCGCCUGGGGAGUACGGUCGCAAGAUUAAAACUCAAAGGAAUUGA
RNAcentral lists this ribosomal RNA (830 nucleotides) under uncultured marine bacterium. RNAcentral's name for it is "bacterial SSU rRNA". It matches the Rfam family "Bacterial small subunit ribosomal RNA", at positions 36 to 913 of the family's 1533-position model. The record is from RNAcentral.